UGAGGAAUUUUGGACAAUGGGGGAAACCCUGAUCCAGCGACGCCGCGUGAAGGAUGAAGGUCUUCGGAUUGUAAACUUCUUUUGCCUGGGAAUAACCGCCUCAUAGAAAUAUGGGGAAUGAAUGUACCAGGCGAAUAAGCCACGGCUAACUUCGUGCCAGCAGCCGCGGUAAUACGAAGGUGGCAAGCGUUACUCGGAAUUACUAGGCGUAAAGGGCAGGUAGGCGGUUCGGUUAGUCUGUUGUGAAAGCUCCUUGCUUAACGGGGAGAGGCCAACAGAUACUGCCGAGCUUGAGUAUAGGAGAGGGUACUGGAAUUCCCGGUGUAGCGGUGAAAUGCGCAGAGAUCGGGAGGAACACCAAUGGCGAAAGCAGGUACCUGGACUAUUACUGACGCUCAGCUGCGAAAGCUAGGGGAGCAAACAGGAUUAGAUACCCCUGUAGUCC
This 445-nucleotide ribosomal RNA is filed under the name uncultured bacterium. RNAcentral's name for it is "bacterial SSU rRNA". It matches the Rfam family "Bacterial small subunit ribosomal RNA", at positions 355 to 796 of the family's 1533-position model. The record is from RNAcentral.